Molecule: ribosomal RNA, 331 nt
Filed under: uncultured bacterium
Lineage: Bacteria
Description: bacterial SSU rRNA
Rfam family: Bacterial small subunit ribosomal RNA
Source: RNAcentral
CGCGUAGGUGGUAGUGUAAGUCUGGGGUGGAAUGCCGGGGCUUAACCCUGGAAUUGCCUUGGAAACUGCAUUACUUGAGUCAGUGAGGGGAGGGUAGAAUUCCUGGUGUAGCGGUGAAAUGCGUAGAUAUCAGGAGGAAGGCCUGUGGCGAAGGCGGCCCUCUGGUGCUGGACUGACACUGAGGCGCGAAAGCGUGGGGAGCAAACAGGAUUACGAUACCCUGGUAGUCCACGCCCUAAACGGUGGGCACUAGGUGUAGGGCUCGUAAGGGUUCUGUGCCGAAGGGAAACCAUUAAGUGCCCCGCCUGGGGAGUACGGCCGCAAGGUUGAA